RNAcentral lists this small RNA (296 nucleotides) under Pongo abelii (Sumatran orangutan). RNAcentral describes it as "processed transcript". The record is from RNAcentral. Lineage: Eukaryota; Metazoa; Chordata; Mammalia; Primates; Hominidae.
CAUGUGCACACAGAGGUGUUCCUUGCAGCCCCCUCCCUCUCAGGUGUCCUGAGAUGCUGCUCCUGGGAGCCCCCUCAGAAAACUGCCUCACCGGAGACAAGUGCCUGCUGGACAGAGCAGGAAGCGGUAGAAGACGCUCGGCGGUUCUGGCCUCCGAGCAGCAGGUGGCGCUGUGCGUCGUCUGCGGAAGCCGCGGAGGCCUCGCUGACUGACUUCCGGUGUUGGCGGUGGCGCCGCGCAGUCAUCGCGGAGCUGACGCGGAGGCUGGUGGGCGCUGGGAGCGAUGCCGUACGCCA